UACGGGGGGAGCAAGCGUUGUUCGGAUUUACUGGGCGUAAAGGGCGCGUAGGCGGCUUGGCAAGUGGAAGGUGAAAUCCCUCGGCUUAACCGAGGAACUGCCCUCCAAACUGCUUCGCUUGAGACCGGGAGAGGUGAGUGGAAUUCCCAGUGUAGCGGUGAAAUGCGUAGAUAUUGGGAGGAACACCAGUGGCGAAGGCGGCUCACUGGACCGGUACUGACGCUGAUGCGCGAAAGCGUGGGGAGCAAACGGG
Molecule: ribosomal RNA, 253 nt
Filed under: uncultured bacterium
Lineage: Bacteria
Description: partial 16S ribosomal RNA
Rfam family: Bacterial small subunit ribosomal RNA
Source: RNAcentral